GGAAGACGAGGCGGAAGUGAGGUCACCUGGAGCCCUGAAUGAUAGAUUUCGAUUGGUCCGCAAAGGAAAGGGCAUUGACUCCGACAGAGCCCAUUUUUGUUUGGGGCAAAACAAAGCGAUUGGCGCCACCUACCCUGAACUGUGAUUCUAGGAUUAGGUGAUGAUUCUGACAACUUCUGUUUUUGUGUAUCAGCCUUCUCUGCGGAGUUUUUUGGCUUUUAUUAGUUCAUUGAGAUUUCGGAAGACUGGCAUCAAGAAGUGUUUCUGACGAUUACAAAGUAAGACAAGAUACAGCAACUCUGAAUCCAAGCAGCAAGCAAAAAGGCAAUUGAGUGCUGUGUUGUCAAAGUUCUACUUUCCCUAGAGUUUUGUACAGAGGAAGAGUUUCGGCUACAUGAAUCAUGUCUAGCGAGGAGGCCUUGAAGACUCUAAGAGGGUGAGAUAAAGUAUCCCAAACAUUUCCAAAGCCAAACUGGAACUGCACACUGAUUAAUCUGCAGAGAGGCCAGCCUAAAGCUCCAACUCUUCAGAGCUAAUCAAGUGGAAACACAUUGGGGAAAUCCAGGUCAACUAUAAUUCCCAUCAUGACUAAGCAGCAUAAAGACUCUGACUACAGUGACCUAGAACUGACCUCAGGGAGAAAUCAGUCAAAACAGAAUCAUUCAUUUCCAGGAUUCUUGGUCACUCAAGAUCUCUCACAAGACUGCAGUCAAGGCCAGGGCUCCAGUCUCAUCUGAAGACUUGACUAAGUAGAAUUUGCUUCUAAGUUCGCUCACAUAAUUGUUGGCAAGAUUUACUUCCUUGUGGACUGUCGGAGGGAGGGUCUGGUUCCCUGCUGGCCAAAGGCAAUAGUCCUUCCUCAAGUCCUUGCCAUCGGGGUUCUCAUAAGGCAGUUCACAAUAUGAACUGUGUGUGCAUGUGUGUGUGUGUGUGUGUGUG
Mustela lutreola (European mink) is the source of this 939-nucleotide long non-coding RNA. RefSeq lists it as uncharacterized. Lineage: Eukaryota; Metazoa; Chordata; Mammalia; Carnivora; Mustelidae. The record is from RefSeq and is a predicted model, not a curated record. The transcript has 4 exons.